This 253-nucleotide ribosomal RNA is filed under the name uncultured bacterium. RNAcentral describes it as "partial 16S ribosomal RNA". It matches the Rfam family "Bacterial small subunit ribosomal RNA", at positions 524 to 776 of the family's 1533-position model. The record is from RNAcentral.
UACAGAGGGCGCAAGCGUUGUUCGGAUUCAUUGGGCGUAAAGGGUGCGUAGGCGGCGCCGUAAGUCGGGUGUGAAAUUUCGGAGCUUAACUCCGAAACUGCAUUCGAUACUGCGGUGCUUGAGGACUGGAGAGGAGACUGGAAUUCAUGGUGUAGCAGUGAAAUGCGUAGAGAUCAUGAGGAAGACCAGUGGCGAAGGCGGGUCUCUGGACAGUUCCUGACACUGGGGCACGAAGGCCAGGGGAGCAAACGGG